This 249-nucleotide ribosomal RNA is filed under the name uncultured bacterium. RNAcentral describes it as "partial 16S ribosomal RNA". It matches the Rfam family "Bacterial small subunit ribosomal RNA", at positions 122 to 353 of the family's 1533-position model. The record is from RNAcentral.
CAACCUGCCCUUCANAGGGGGACAACAGUUGGAAACGACUGCUAAUACCGCAUACGAUCUAACCUUGGCAUCGAGGAUGGAUGAAAGGUGGCCUCUAUUUAUAAGCUAUCACUGAAGGAGGGGAUCGCGUCUGAUUAGCUAGUUGGAGGGGUAACGGCCCACCAAGGCGAUGAUCAGUAGCCGGUCUGAGAGGAUGAACGGCCACAUUGGGACUGAGACACGGUCCAGACUCCUACGGGAGGCAGCAUG